GGGGAACAUGGAUAACAACCUGUAUUCAACAGGAUUUUCUUGUGUCUACAUGCCAUGAAAAAGGUGAAGACCAUUUAUUGGCAACAAGGGCAUAUUACAUGUUGCAUUGCCAUAGUUGAAGUGGAGAACAGAGACAGGUGGACUUUCUUUCUUCCACUUGUAUAUACAGACAAUACAAUGAUUGGGGAUGUAAUGGAGGGCAAAAGGUUUGU
RNAcentral lists this long non-coding RNA (212 nucleotides) under Glycine max (soybean). Its description in RNAcentral is "long non-coding RNA (GMAX_LNC000539)". The record is from RNAcentral. Lineage: Eukaryota; Viridiplantae; Streptophyta; Magnoliopsida; Fabales; Fabaceae.